GUUUCUGAGUGAGGGAGAGAGGAGUCAUCAUCCAGGUAAAGUGACGUGGAUCAGUGGAUACACUUGUCUCCCCUUUAAAGGAGAUACUCUUAGAGAGAGACGAUCCGAGUCAUCCUUAAAUAUGGGCAGGAUAUCAGUCUUGGACUGUCUAACCUGCAGCACUGAAUAACCACCACACAUGAGCAUGUUCCUGCAGCAGCUUUGCUUUUGUGUUAAAUGUCAAAUAGCUGGAGAGGAAAUUACACCAGUGUACUGAGAUGUUUCACCAACACGUGCCAGACGCUGUUCCUUCAUGGUGACAUCACCAGAAACAGCCCCGCCCACCUCAGGACUUCGCCAUUAAUCAUGAUGAUUAUAAUGAUGACAGCGAGCGGAACUAAGACUGUAAAAAUCCAUGACCAGAAUGUUUAGAUGCUUUCUAAUUAUUAAUGAAUACUGAGAGCCUCUUUCUGAGUUUUGUCUGUUUUGGGUUUUUUUUACUUCAUUUGUUACUAACAAAGUUCACCAAACUUCACACAGUUUAUAUUCUGUAUGUUUCCAUCUUUACCAGCCACACUCUAACUGCAUUUAAGAAAACAAACCAUAGAAAUCGUUGCUUUUCUCUUUUGCAAUUGAUGAUUAUUCAGUGAAUAUACUGCGCUGCUUCCUUUUAUUGCGUCACACAUUGCUUUAAGUUUUUCAGUGUCCAAUUAUUUGUUUGAAUUCUCUGUAUGUUUGACCCUGUAGACUGUUUAAUGGACUGCUUGUCUUCCUGUUUGUAACCGACGCCUGUUUUUGACUAAAGAUUUGGAUUUCUGACUUUAACACA
Oreochromis aureus is the source of this 808-nucleotide long non-coding RNA. RefSeq lists it as uncharacterized. The transcript is spliced from 3 exons. NCBI's taxonomy places the organism in Eukaryota, Metazoa, Chordata, Actinopteri, Cichliformes, Cichlidae. The record is from RefSeq and is a predicted model, not a curated record.